GAUGAACGCUGGCGGCGUGCCUAAUACAUGCAAGUCGAGCGAACGGACGAGAAGCUUGCUUCUCUGAUGUUAGCGGCGGACGGGUGAGUAACACGUGGAUAACCUACCUAUAAGACUGGGAUAACUUCGGGAAACCGGAGCUAAUACCGGAUAAUAUUAUGAACCGCAUGGUUCAAAAGUGAAAGACGGUCUUGCUGUCACUUAUAGAUGGAUCCGCGCUGCAUUAGCUAGUUGGUAAGGUAACGGCUUACCAAGGCAACGAUGCAUAGCCGACCGGAGAGGGUGAUCGGCCACACUGGAACUGAGACACGGUCCAGACUCCUACGGGAGGCAGCAGUAGGGAAUCUUCCGCAAUGGGCGAAAGCCUGACGGAGCAACGCCGCGUGAGUGAUGAAGGUCUUCGGAUCGUAAAACUCUGUUAUUAGGGAAGAACAUAUGUGUAAGUAACUGUGCACAUCUUGACGGUACCUAAUCAGAAAGCCACGGCUAACUACGUG
This 497-nucleotide ribosomal RNA is filed under the name uncultured bacterium. Its description in RNAcentral is "partial 16S ribosomal RNA". It matches the Rfam family "Bacterial small subunit ribosomal RNA", at positions 28 to 507 of the family's 1533-position model. The record is from RNAcentral.